ACCAGCUGUCAGAGCCCAGCGAGGUGCG
This 28-nucleotide non-coding RNA is filed under the name Homo sapiens (human). The record is from RNAcentral. Lineage: Eukaryota; Metazoa; Chordata; Mammalia; Primates; Hominidae.